This 497-nucleotide ribosomal RNA is filed under the name uncultured bacterium. RNAcentral describes it as "partial 16S ribosomal RNA". It matches the Rfam family "Bacterial small subunit ribosomal RNA", at positions 28 to 507 of the family's 1533-position model. The record is from RNAcentral.
GAUGAACGCUGGCGGCGUGCCUAAUACAUGCAAGUCGAGCGAACAGACGAGGAGCUUGCUCCUCUGACGUUAGCGGCGGACGGGUGAGUAACACGUGGAUAACCUACCUAUAAGACUGGGAUAACUUCGGGAAACCGGAGCUAAUACCGGAUAACAUGUUGAACCGCAUGGUUCAACAGUGAAAGACGGUCUUGCUGUCACUUAUAGAUGGAUCCGCGCCGCAUUAGCUAGUUGGUAAGGUAACGGCUUACCAAGGCAACGAUGCGUAGCCGACCUGAGAGGGGGAUAGGACACACUGGAACUGAGACACGGACAAGACGACGACGGGAGGCAGCAGUAGGGGAUAGUCAGAAAUGGGCGCAAGACUGAAAGAGCAACGAAGCGAGAGUAAUGAAGGUUUACGGAUCGGAAAACUUUGUUAUUAGGGAAGAAAAAAUGUGUAAGUAACUAUGCACGGCUUGACGGUACCUAAUAAGAAAGACACGGCUAACGACGGG